RNAcentral lists this ribosomal RNA (888 nucleotides) under Escherichia coli. Its description in RNAcentral is "partial 23S ribosomal RNA". It matches the Rfam family "Bacterial large subunit ribosomal RNA", at positions 2034 to 2916 of the family's 2925-position model. The record is from RNAcentral. Lineage: Bacteria; Pseudomonadati; Pseudomonadota; Gammaproteobacteria; Enterobacterales; Enterobacteriaceae.
CAGUGAAAUUGAACUCGCUGUGAAGAUGCAGUGUACCCGCGGCAAGACGGAAAGACCCCGUGAACCUUUACUAUAGCUUGACACUGAACAUUGAGCCUUGAUGUGUAGGAUAGGUGGGAGGCUUAGAAGUGUGGACGCCAGUCUGCAUGGAGCCGACCUUGAAAUACCACCCUUUAAUGUUUGAUGUUCUAACGUUGACCCGUAAUCCGGGUUGCGGACAGUGUCUGGUGGGUAGUUUGACUGGGGCGGUCUCCUCCUAAAGAGUAACGGAGGAGCACGAAGGUUGGCUAAUCCUGGUCGGACAUCAGGAGGUUAGUGCAAUGGCAUAAGCCAGCUUGACUGCGAGCGUGACGGCGCGAGCAGGUGCGAAAGCAGGUCAUAGUGAUCCGGUGGUUCUGAAUGGAAGGGCCAUCGCUCAACGGAUAAAAGGUACUCCGGGGAUAACAGGCUGAUACCGCCCAAGAGUUCAUAUCGACGGCGGUGUUUGGCACCUCGAUGUCGGCUCAUCACAUCCUGGGGCUGAAGUAGGUCCCAAGGGUAUGGCUGUUCGCCAUUUAAAGUGGUACGCGAGCUGGGUUUAGAACGUCGUGAGACAGUUCGGUCCCUAUCUGCCGUGGGCGCUGGAGAACUGAGGGGGGCUGCUCCUAGUACGAGAGGACCGGAGUGGACGCAUCACUGGUGUUCGGGUUGUCAUGCCAAUGGCACUGCCCGGUAGCUAAAUGCGGAAGAGAUAAGUGCUGAAAGCAUCUAAGCACGAAACUUGCCCCGAGAUGAGUUCUCCCUGACCCUUUAAGGGUCCUGAAGGAACGUUGAAGACGACGACGUUGAUAGGCCGGGUGUGUAAGCGCAGCGAUGCGUUGAGCUAACCGGUACUAAUGAACCGUGAGG